CCUACGGGUGGCUGCAGUUAUUAAUAUUUUUCCCUUUCCUCGCUUCUGCCCCCGCCCCGUCGCGUGAGGGAAGACGGCCCUACGGGUUGUAAACCUCUUUUGUCAGGGAGCAAGGUGCAGGUCGGGACCUGCUGUGAGAGUACCUGAAGAAAAAGCAUCGGCUAACUCCGUGCCAGCAGCCGCGGUAAUACGGAGGAUGCGAGCGUUAUCCGGAUUUAUUGGGUUUAAAGGGUGCGCAGGCGGAGGCACAAGUCAGCGGUAAAAUCGCGGGGCUCAACCCCGCUCCGCCGUUGAAACUGUGUCCCUUGAGUGCGCGAAGGGUAGGCGGAAUGCGUGGUGUAGCGGUGAAAUGCAUAGAUAUCACGCAGAACUCCGAUUGCGAAGGCAGCAUACCGGCGCCCAACUGACGCUGAAGCACGAAAGCGUGGGUAUCGAACAGGAUUAGAUACCCCAGUAGUC
This 459-nucleotide ribosomal RNA is filed under the name uncultured bacterium. RNAcentral's name for it is "partial 16S ribosomal RNA". It matches the Rfam family "Bacterial small subunit ribosomal RNA", at positions 338 to 795 of the family's 1533-position model. The record is from RNAcentral.